UCGUUACGCUAGCGGCAGCCUACACAUGCAAGUCGAGGGGUAGAGGAAGCUUGCUUCCUUGAGACCGGCGCACGGGUGCGUAACGCGUAUGCAAUCUACCUUUUACAGAGGGAUAGCCCAGAGAAAUUUGGAUUAAUACCUCAUAGUAUAUAUCAUUCGCAUGUUUGGUAUAUUAAAGUUCCAACGGUAAAAGAUGAGCAUGCGUCCCAUUAGUUAGUUGGUAAGGUAACGGCUUACCAAGACGAUGAUGGGUAGGGGUCCUGAGAGGGAGAUCCCCCACACUGGUACUGAGACACGGACCAGACUCCUACGGGAGGCAGCAGUGAGGAAUAUUGGUCAAUGGACGCAAGUCUGAACCAGCCAUGCCGCGUGCAGGAAGACGGUCCUAUGGAUUGUAAACUGCUUUUGUACGGGAAGAAACCCUCCGACGUGUCGGAGCUUGACGGUACCGUAAGAAUAAGCAUCGGCUAACUCCGUGCCAGCAGCCGCGGUAAUACAGAGGGUGCAAGCGUUAAUCGGAAUUACUGGGCGUAAAGCGCGCGUAGGUGGUUAGUUAAGUUGGAUGUGAAAUCCCCGGGCUCAACCUGGGAACUGCAUUCAAAACUGACUGACUAGAGUAUGGUAGAGGGGUGGGGUGGAAUUCCCUGGGUAGCGGUGAAAUGCGUAGAUAUAGGAAGGAACACCAGUGGCGAAGGCGACCACCUGGACUGAUACUGACACUGAGGUGCGAAAGCGUGGGGAGCAAACAGGAUUAGAUACCCUGGUAGUCCACGCCGUAAACGAUGUCAACUAGCCGUUGGGAGCCUUGAGCUCUUAGUGGCGCAGCUAACGCAUUAAGUUGACCGCCUGGGGAGUACGGCCGCAAGGUUAAAACUCAAAUGAAUUGACGGAAGGGCG
Molecule: ribosomal RNA, 897 nt
Filed under: uncultured bacterium
Lineage: Bacteria
Description: bacterial SSU rRNA
Rfam family: Bacterial small subunit ribosomal RNA
Source: RNAcentral